Non-coding RNA from Paramuricea clavata, 415 nucleotides. Lineage: Eukaryota; Metazoa; Cnidaria; Anthozoa; Malacalcyonacea; Plexauridae. The record is from the annotation of a GenBank genome assembly.
GAGGAACGUUUCACAUAGUUUAUCUGUAAAGCUGUCAUUACUAAGCCAAUUUUAGCUUCCCUAAGGCGAGAGAUUCCGAAACGCAUGAUGUCUAUACACAUUCUGGUUCUGUAUAAUAAACGAUAGUAAUGUCAUCUUCCUCGAUAUGUCCUUCUUGUACUUGUACUUGUGCACAGUACCAGCCUGUUUUUCAACCGCUGUUUUCAAUUUCAUCUUUGCUCCAUUUAACUUUUAUUUUUCGGUCAAUACAAAAGUACUCCUCAUAAGUAUCUGGUUUAAUGUUUGACAGUUCAUCACCUAGUUUAUUAUUCUUCGUGAAGAACGCUUCAUUGUUCUUACGCCUAAUUUUUCUCUCGAUUGUCAAAUACUCCUAAAGUUGCUGGAAAACAUCUUGAAGAUUGUGGAAUGAAAGGUC